AUGUUUUCUUGUCGGCUGCAAGAUGAAAUUCACAGUGCUGACUCUCUCCACAUGGACGCACCUUUAGAGAGAAAUACAACCUUCACAGAUUACCAUAUGCAAAAUGUGAAUUAUUAUUCAUAUUCAAGUGUUUGUGCGAAAAUUAUUAAUGCGCAUGCAGGACAGGGAGGCGCCCUCUUGAUCACUUGAAAUUUUUCUUGAUUAUGAAUUAACUUAAAAUUGUGGCGUCUCACAUACAUGAUAAAUAUAUCUACAGAAAGCUCAUCACUCAAGAUAUUGAUUCAAAUGAUUUUAUACCAAGAUUAGAUUUUCCAUGGGUAAGUUCUAGGUACCUGCUCCUUUGUAAAUCAGCCAGCCCCCAGACACACUUUCAAGUUUUGGACAAAGAUCUUUGAGAGUUGAACAUACCUUCAAGAGUAAUAUAAAUCAUACCAUCAUAUUGACAAAAGAACAUUGGUUUUGAUAGUGGACUAUAUUAAAAUAUUAUAUGACAAAAAAAAUGUUGCCUCACCUCAUCAUGGGUGUAGUUCCCUGGUAUCAGCGUGGACCUGCGUCCCAAACCAGCUUGCAGAUGGAAAACUUCUUCACUGCCUUUGGGAGUGUGCUCAACAAUCUUGGGUAAGAGAUAAAAUGUAACUUCUAUCUCUUUGACUGGUGUGAAGUGGUUGGAAGGCCCUUGAACACGCCAGCGCUUUCCACUGGCUCCAAAAAGGGCAGGAAAAGACCUGUGAUGAUAAUUUUUUAAUUUGAUAUUACACAAUACAAGUAUAUCUCACUAGCUAUAGUUUGAGAAUUUAAAUUGAUUAAUGUAAGGGACGAGUCAGUCUGACAAAGAAACCAAAUAUAGUGAAGGACCUUGUCAUUUCUGUGUGGACACUGGGUCGGCCAUCUCUCCCUCUUUCCUGACUCCUUUCCUGUCUGCUAGAAUGACAUGCCGUGUUCAGAAGAUGCAUCACAUUAUUUUAUACAUGUUAAUCUCUGUGUGUGUGUUAUUUGUUGGGAAACUAGACAACACCUUGGAGUCUCUGGGCAAGUUUGAUGUUGGGCACUGGGUCCAACAGGACCAGGGGAAGGUAUUGCAUUUGUGAACAAAUUUAGGAGCUGUCUUCCUGAAUUGACUACUUCUGAGUUGUCUCCCUGUCAAAAGUAUAAAAAUUGAGCAGUAGGUUGGAAAAGCUAUCCAAUACAUUAACUUAAUAACCCAUAAAACAAUAUAAAUAACUUAACCCUCUGGAGUCUAAGGGUAUUUUUGGGGCCUGAAGAAGUUUUGUCAUGCCCUGACAUUUGUGCCUUUUUCAGUUUCUUAUAAAUAUCUAAAUGGCUAAAGUUUAAUCUCACUGUAAUCAGCACAAACUAGGCUAUAAUAAUAUGUGAGCAGCAUGUAUGUACAUGAUUGUGUUUUUGAGAAAAAAAAUGUUAUGCGUGGUUAGUGAAAAACUAAAAAUGUUAAAUCACUUGAAUAAGGCAAUAAAACACAUACAGAAAAUUGGUUCCCGGGACUUUUUGAGAACUGGAGCUUG
Cyprinus carpio carpio is the source of this 1520-nucleotide long non-coding RNA. The record is from Ensembl. Lineage: Eukaryota; Metazoa; Chordata; Actinopteri; Cypriniformes; Cyprinidae.